CCUACGGGAGGCUGCAGUGGGGAAUAUUGCACAAUGGGCGCAAGCCUGAUGCAGCCAUGCCGCGUGUGUGAAGAAGGCCUUCGGGUUGUAAAGCACUUUCAGCGGGGAGGAAGGCGUUAAGGUUAAUAACCUUGGCGAUUGACGUUACCCGCAGAAGAAGCACCGGCUAACUCCGUGCCAGCAGCCGCGGUAAUACGGAGGGUGCAAGCGUUAAUCGUAAUUACUGGGCGUAAAGCGCACGCAGGCGGUCUGUCAAGUCGGAUGUGAAAUCCCCGGGCUCAACCUGGGAACUGCAUUCGAAACUGGCAGGCUAGAGUCGUGUAGAGGGGGGUAGAAUUCCAGGUGUAGCGGUGAAAUGCGUAGAGAUCUGGAGGAAUACCGGUGGCGAAGGCGGCCCCCUGGACAAAGACUGACGCUCAGGUGCGAAAGCGUGGGGAGCAAACAGGAUUAAUACCCCGGUAGUC
RNAcentral lists this ribosomal RNA (464 nucleotides) under uncultured Klebsiella sp. RNAcentral describes it as "bacterial SSU rRNA". It matches the Rfam family "Bacterial small subunit ribosomal RNA", at positions 338 to 795 of the family's 1533-position model. The record is from RNAcentral. Lineage: Bacteria; Pseudomonadati; Pseudomonadota; Gammaproteobacteria; Enterobacterales; Enterobacteriaceae.